CUCGGCCCUCCUCCUCCUCCUGCUCCUCCUCCCUCUCCCCAUCUCAGCUGCGGCUAAAACCUGGAGUCUUGGGGAAAAGGGAAAAAAAAAAAAAAAAAACCCUCGGCUGUAGAGCUGUCAAACCGGGCAUGCUCAGUA
Molecule: small RNA, 138 nt
Filed under: Canis lupus dingo (dingo)
Lineage: Eukaryota; Metazoa; Chordata; Mammalia; Carnivora; Canidae
Description: SMAD5 antisense RNA 1 conserved region 2 (ENSCAFG00020001877.1)
Source: RNAcentral